CGUAACAAGGUUUCCGUAGGUGAACCUGCGGAAGGAUCAUUAUCAAAACAGCGGACUUCGGUCCUUGCUGCACCCUUGUCUUUUGCGUACCGUAUGUUUCCUCGGCGGGCUUGCCUGCCGGUUGGACAUUAUCAAACCUUUUUGUAGUUGCAAUCAGCGUCAGAAAACAAACAAUAAUUACAACUUUCAACAACGGAUCUCUUGGUUCUGGCAUCGAUGAAGAACGCAGCGAAAUGCGAAAAGUAGUGUGAAUUGCAGAAUUCAGUGAAUCAUCGAAUCUUUGAACGCACAUUGCGCCCCUUGGUAUUCCAUGGGGCAUGCCUGUUCGAGCGUCAUUUUGUACCCUCAAGCACUGCUUGGUGUUGGGCGUUUGUCCUGCAAAGGACUCGCCUGAAAGCGAUUGGCGGCCAACGUACUGGUGGUAGAGCGCAGCACAAUUUGCGUCUCUCCCCUCUGCGUCGGCGUCCAUGAAGCCUUUUUUCAACGUUUGACCUCGGAUCAGGUAGGGAUACCCGCUGAACUUAAGCAUAUCAAUAA
This 537-nucleotide unclassified non-coding RNA is filed under the name Pyrenochaetopsis sp. 1 NV-2016. RNAcentral describes it as "sequence contains ITS1, 5.8S rRNA gene, ITS2". The stretch from base 182 to 335 matches the Rfam family "5.8S ribosomal RNA". Lineage: Eukaryota; Fungi; Ascomycota; Dothideomycetes; Pleosporales; Pyrenochaetopsidaceae. The record is from RNAcentral.